AUACAUCAAAGGCAAAUUUUUAUGUCUACUGCAUGGAGCCAUGAAUCAAAAUAGCUCAAGAAAGCAGCCUCAUUUUUAGCUUGCAUGUAUUUUACAAUUGGAUUUUGCACUACUGAGAUGUUCAAAUACAGAACUCUUCAUACACAGGUUGCCAUCAAUGGCCAUAUGAUGAAAAUUUAGCACCUCAAAAACCAAAUUGGACCUCUUUCUUGUUUUAGAACCAAACACAAAAUGCAUUUCCUUUCCAUGGAAGACCUCAAAGUUAAAUGUACCAGCAGAUAAAAGGAGAAAAUCAUUCUGGUUCAUCUGCGCUUGGUGGAGGCUCUGAACGUCUUCUCUUGGAUUCAUGACCACCCAACUGCAAGGAAAAGCUGAUGUCUUCAUCAGAGCCUUUCCUAAGAGCUGAGAGAUUCUCGUAUGCUGACUUAUCACGAUGGUCGUCUUGAUUAGCCGGAGGUUGCCCAUUGAAGCUUGGAAUGAAUUGAUGUUCAACACUUGCAUCAAAGUUGAUCCCACUUUCUUCCAAGUUAAAUGUAGCUUCCACAGGUGAAGAGUUUAUAUCAGGGCCACCAAUGCCAUCUUCCAAGGGAAUUUGUUGAAUGUGAAGCCCAAGAGGCUCUAUUUUGUCCUUUGGAAGCAUUAUAUCAGGAGGUGAAGAAUCCCCAGCCGUAGAGCCCACCAUUGUGGCAGAGGCAGCUCUCUGUUCUUGCACUGCAACUUUUAGAGCUUCAUCUUUGGUAAUGAUAUCAAGUUCAAGGAAAUUGAGCAGACGCCCAAGGUCAACUCCACUAGUCCAAUUUUCUGGAGAUUGUCCCACCUUUAGUUUAAGCCGUCCCCUAUUUGCAGUUCCACCCCAAAUAAUACCAAUUGGUCGGGGUUUUUCCCCAUUCUCACCCUUCAAAACGAUUAAACUUCCACUGUCUCCUUCAAGGUCAAAAGUCUGCUGG
This 947-nucleotide unclassified non-coding RNA is filed under the name Hevea brasiliensis (rubber tree). Lineage: Eukaryota; Viridiplantae; Streptophyta; Magnoliopsida; Malpighiales; Euphorbiaceae. The record is from RNAcentral.